UGCCCGCUUCCCAGGCUCCCAGUCCACUCUUUCCUCCCCAGCGGAUGCUUUCUGCUCUGAGUGGUGAUAAUAAUGGUCUUGGCUGGUUAGUAAACAGCUGUCUUCUUGUCCCUUAGGUGCUGCUUCUCCUCUCAACAACUCUGCAAGCCUGUGACUUCCGUCUUGCUGGCAUGCUUUUUCUGUCUACCACGUGCUCCCUUGGAUGAAGUCCGCUGCCAUGUUGUGAGCUGCCCCACGCAGAAGCUCAUGUGACAAGGAGCUGAGGCCCUCAGUCCAACUGAAUCCUGCCGCUGAAUGAGCUUGAAAGCAGAUCCUGUCCCCGUUGACUCUUGGGGUGACUGUGGUCCCAGCUGUUACCUUAAUUGAGAUCCUGAGCUAGAGGGCCCAGCUAAGCUGUACCCAGGUUCCUGAGCCACAGAAACUGUGAGGUAUCGUCACAGAUGCAUAAUCCUGAGCCAGAGAGAUCAUUACCCAACCACAAUGACGAAAGCUUCGGACAAGAUGACAUCAGGAACUAAAUUAAUCAGACAAAGGAAAACCACUGAAGCUUGCACAGGAACUAGCCAGUCAGCUUCACUCGUGACCCCCUAACACCUAACCCUCAAUCUUUGCCUUUAAAAACCCUUGAUUAAAAACCAUCAGGGAGUUCAGGUGUUAAGCAAUAGCUUCCUGUUCUCCUGGCUUGGUGACCUGCCAAAAAAUUCCUUUAAUUUCUCCUCUGUGAAACUCAAGUGUUCAGUGUUUGGCUCUGCUGUGCAUCGAAUGGCCAGACAAUAUUCGGUUCAAUAACGCUGGUGAUACCCCAGGAGAGUUCUGGAAUUCCUCCCUUGCACCUUCUUGGCUUCCAUGAGCUGAUCACAGGGUUUCUGCUGGGAAAUGACCAGUCUCCCAUCCCAUCUCAAAAGAUAGGCAGGUGUCCCCACUGGACGGGGACAUAUGCAUGCAAAGUUGUGCUGACUUCCACGGAGGAGGAAAAAGCAAGCAGCCAAGCCUCAGCUGCCAGCUAAAUGUAAUCUAGUUUAGGAAGGUUUGGAGAAAAGGUUUUACUGCUCCUUCCUCUACCCCACGCCCACAGUGGUCUCACCCCCGGUGUGGGAGGCAGGGGGUGGGGGGGGGCUGCACCAGCUUCAGUCAGGCUUUUCAGCUCCAACCUCACCCUUCACCGUUACUUUGGGCAAGUCGUUUUCUCUCUCUGAGCCUCCAUUUUCCGUCUUUAAUUCUGUAGCCUUUAGUUUUCUCAUCUGUAAAUGCAAAUAACAAAAUCUGUUUGACAGAGCUAUUUUGAGGAUGAAUAUGUGAAAAGAAAUGGUUAAAUACGUUAAGUGAAAGAUGUAGGUUAAAAAGUGCCAUGAUCUCAAUCAUAUUAGAAUAAGUAUAUAUGUAUAGGCUCAAACGUUACUGCACAGGAAAUACCCAGCCCAUUUGUGACAGACUCAGGGGAACAGUGGGGGCUAGUGACGAAAAGCACGCACUAGAGCUAGACUGGGUACAAAUCCCCGUUCCACCCCUUCCUACCUGUGUGGAUGUGAGUCAAUCACCUCACUUCUCUGUACCUCAGUUUCCUCAACUAGAAAUUGGAGACAAUAAUAAUAAUAAUCAAUACCUACCUCCUGAAGAUGGUUGCCAAGGAAAUACCAGUGACAUACACCAUGUCCGACACACCGUAGGCACGCAAUAAAUGCUGCAGCUCUCUGUGGGCAGUGCUCACAAUGAUUUUCAGGCUUUCGUAGAACUUCCCGAGGUUCCUACAUCAAUUAUGAGUUACUUCCACAUCUCUG
Molecule: long non-coding RNA, 1778 nt
Organism: Hipposideros armiger (great roundleaf bat)
Lineage: Eukaryota; Metazoa; Chordata; Mammalia; Chiroptera; Hipposideridae
Exons: 3
Source: RefSeq, a predicted model, not a curated record